AGAGACUGCGAGCGUUAUUCGGAUUCACUGGGCGUAAAGGGUGCGCAGGCGGCCAUGUGUGUUGGGCGUGAAAGCCCGGGGCUUAACCCCGGAAUUGCACCCAAAACUACAUGGCUAGAGCAUUGGAGAGGGUAGCAGAAUUCAUGGUGUAGCAGUGAAAUGCGUAGAUAUCAUGAGGAAUACCAGAGGCGAAGGCGGCUACCUGGACAAUUGCUGACGCUCAGGCACGAAAGCGUGGGGAGCAAAAGGGAUUAGAUACCCCUGUAGUCCACGCCCUAAACGGUGCACACUAGGUCUUGGCGGAUUCGACCCCCCCAGGGCCCAAGCUAACGCGUUAAGUGUGCCGCCUGAGGACUACGGCCGCAAGGCUA
Molecule: ribosomal RNA, 371 nt
Filed under: uncultured bacterium
Lineage: Bacteria
Description: bacterial SSU rRNA
Rfam family: Bacterial small subunit ribosomal RNA
Source: RNAcentral